UACGUACGAGGCGAGCGUUAUCCGGAAUUACUGGGCGUAAAGCGCGCGCAGGCGGAUACUUAAGUAGGGCGUGAAAUCUCCCGGCCUAACUGGGAGGGGUCGCUCUAGACUGGGUGUCUUGAGGACUGCAGAGGUGGGUGGAAUUCCUGGUGUAGUGGUGAAAUGCGUAGAGAUCAGGAGGAACACCGGUGGCGAAGGCGGCCCACUGGGCAGUCACUGACGCUGAGGCGCGAAAGCUCGGGGAGCGAACGGG
This 253-nucleotide ribosomal RNA is filed under the name uncultured bacterium. Its description in RNAcentral is "partial 16S ribosomal RNA". It matches the Rfam family "Bacterial small subunit ribosomal RNA", at positions 524 to 776 of the family's 1533-position model. The record is from RNAcentral.